GUUAGGAAUAUUGGACAAUGGGCGAAAGCCUGAUCCAGCCAUGCCGCGUGAACGAUGAAGGCCUUCGGGUUGUAAAGUUCUUUAGCCGAUGAUUAUAAUGACUGUAGUGGGAAAAUAAGCCCCGGCUAACUUCGUGCCAGCAGCCGCGGUAAUACGAAGGGGGCGAGCGUUAUUCGGAAUCACUGGGCGUAAAGCGUGCGUAGGCGGUUUUGUAAGUUAGGAGUGAAAGCCCAGGGCUCAACCUUGGAAUUGCUCUUAAAACUGCAAGGCUCGAAUCUCGGAGAAGAUAGCGGAAUUUCCAGUGUAGCAGUGAAAUGCGUAGAUAUUGGAAGGAACACCAGUGGCGUAAGCGGCGAUCUGGACGAGUAUUGACGCUGAGGCACGAAAGCGUGGGGAUCAAACAGGAUUAGAAACCCCGGUAGUCC
This 425-nucleotide ribosomal RNA is filed under the name uncultured bacterium. RNAcentral's name for it is "partial 16S ribosomal RNA". It matches the Rfam family "Bacterial small subunit ribosomal RNA", at positions 354 to 796 of the family's 1533-position model. The record is from RNAcentral.